Molecule: long non-coding RNA, 287 nt
Filed under: Brassica napus (rape)
Lineage: Eukaryota; Viridiplantae; Streptophyta; Magnoliopsida; Brassicales; Brassicaceae
Description: long non-coding RNA (BNAP_LNC023208)
Source: RNAcentral
CCAAGCCAAAACCAUGGCGCUACUACUAUGGCAAACGCUAAAAGAAGCGAUACAUGCUUACACAGGUCUCUCCCCGGUGGUCUUCUUCACCGCCCUCGCUCUCGCCUUCGCCAUUUACCAAGUCGUCUCAGGCUGGUUCGCUUCGCCUUUCGAUGAUGUUCGCCGACAUCAGAGGGCUAGAUCGUCGGCUGCAGAGGAAGCACCACCGAUUCCUCAGCCUGUUCAGGUCGGCGAGAUCACAGAGGAGGAACUUAAGCAGUACGAUGGCUCCGAUCCUCAAAAGCCCC